RNAcentral lists this ribosomal RNA (397 nucleotides) under uncultured bacterium. RNAcentral's name for it is "partial 16S ribosomal RNA". It matches the Rfam family "Bacterial small subunit ribosomal RNA", at positions 523 to 918 of the family's 1533-position model. The record is from RNAcentral.
AAACGUAGGUCCCGAGCGUUGUUCGGAUUCACUGGGUGUAAAGGGCGCGUAGGUGGUUGUCUGUGUCUCAUGUGAAAACUCAGGGCUCAACUCUGAGAUUGCGUGGGAAACUAGGCGGCUAGAGGACGGUAGCGGGGAGUGGACUUCCCGGUGUAGCGGUAAAAUGCGUAGAUAUCGGGAGGAACACCGGUGGCGAAGGCGGCUCUCUGGGCCGAUCCUGACGCUGAGGCGCGAAAGCUAGGGGAGCGAACCGGAUUAGAUACCCGGGUAGUCCUAGCCGUAAACGAUGGGUGCUAGGUGUUGGGGGGUAAAGACCCUUCAGUGCCGAAGCCAACGCGAUAAGCAUCCCACCUGGGGAGUACGGCCGCAAGGUUGAAACUCAAAUGAAUUGACGGGG